Molecule: ribosomal RNA, 583 nt
Filed under: Rahnella sp. VPMK22
Lineage: Bacteria; Pseudomonadati; Pseudomonadota; Gammaproteobacteria; Enterobacterales; Yersiniaceae
Description: bacterial SSU rRNA
Rfam family: Bacterial small subunit ribosomal RNA
Source: RNAcentral
GCAAGUCGAGCGGUAGCACAGGAGAGCUUGCUCUCUGGGUGACGAGCGGCGGACGGGUGAGUAAUGUCUGGGAAACUGCCUGAUGGAGGGGGAUAACUACUGGAAACGGUAGCUAAUACCGCAUGACCUCGCAAGAGCAAAGUGGGGGACCUUCGGGCCUCACGCCAUCGGAUGUGCCCAGAUGGGAUUAGCUAGUAGGUGGGGUAAUGGCUCACCUAGGCGACGAUCCCUAGCUGGUCUGAGAGGAUGACCAGCCACACUGGAACUGAGACACGGUCCAGACUCCUACGGGAGGCAGCAGUGGGGAAUAUUGCACAAUGGGCGCAAGCCUGAUGCAGCCAUGCCGCGUGUGUGAAGAAGGCCUUAGGGUUGUAAAGCACUUUCAGCGAGGAGGAAGGGUUCAGUGUUAAUAGCACUGUGCAUUGACGUUACUCGCAGAAGAAGCACCGGCUAACUCCGUGCCAGCAGCCGCGGUAAUACGGAGGGUGCAAGCGUUAAUCGGAAUUACUGGGCGUAAAGCGCACGCAGGCGGUUUGUUAAGUCAGAUGUGAAAUCCCCGAGCUUAACUUGGGAACUGCAUUUG